ACUAUUUUGACAGAUAAAUGUGAUGGUUUUAGAAAUCAUAAAUAUAUAAUUUAAUUAUAUAAAUAGUA
Molecule: transfer RNA, 68 nt
Filed under: Zygaena anthyllidis
Lineage: Eukaryota; Metazoa; Arthropoda; Insecta; Lepidoptera; Zygaenidae
Description: transfer RNA-Leu (CUN)
Source: RNAcentral